CUUUUAUAAAAGUAAAUUUUCAUUUUAGAUAAGAACGGUCAAUACAACAUAAAUUAAUAAAUUAUCUAUUUGUGUUAACAACAACAUAUGGACAACAAAUUUUGACGCUUGACAUUUGAGGCAGUCGACCAGACAAUCGCUGCGUUCAUGCAACUAGCACCAUUUCCUUAGAAUUACCAUUCUCGUUUUCUACGGCCAAGUUUACACCAGCUGUUACGCUGACUUGCAUAUCACAUUUGUAGAACAUCUCCUGACCAUUCUAAUGUGUUUCUAUUACAAAUUAAAACUUAGCUGCAUCUAA
Molecule: long non-coding RNA, 301 nt
Organism: Tribolium castaneum (red flour beetle)
Lineage: Eukaryota; Metazoa; Arthropoda; Insecta; Coleoptera; Tenebrionidae
Exons: 2
Source: RefSeq, a predicted model, not a curated record